CCUACGGGUGGCAGCAGUGAGGAAUAUUGGUCAAUGGGCGUAAGCCUGAACCAGCCAAGUCGCGUGAGGGAUGAAGGUUCUAUGGAUCGUAAACCUCUUUUAUAAGGGAAUAAAGUGUGGGACGUGUCCUAUUUUGUAUGUACCUUCUGAAUAAGGAUCGGCUAACUCCGUGCCAGCAGCCGCGGUAAUACGGAGGAUCCGAGCGUUAUCCGGAUUUAUUGGGUUUAAAGGGUGCGUAGGCGGCCUGUUAAGGCAGCGGUAAAAUUGAGAGGCUCAACCUCUUCGAGCCGUUGAAACUGGUUGUCUGGAGUGAGUGAGAGGUAUGCGGAAUGCGUGGUGUAGCGGUGAAAUGCAUAGAUAUCACGCAGAACUCCGAUUGCGAAGGCAGCAUACCGGCGCUCAACUGACGCUCAUGCACGAAAGUGUGGGUAUCGAACAGGAUUAGAUACCCGGGUAGUC
Molecule: ribosomal RNA, 459 nt
Filed under: uncultured bacterium
Lineage: Bacteria
Description: partial 16S ribosomal RNA
Rfam family: Bacterial small subunit ribosomal RNA
Source: RNAcentral